AGCACGUCUUGGCAGAGAUGAGAGACACUGCUCGCUUCCAUAGCCACCCUUAAAAUUUAUUUUAAACAGUAAGUACUUUAUUUUAUUUUUAAGACAUUAAUUUGAAUAUUGCACAUUUGCAAAAUAGUUUCCUUUCAGCUGGCAAGCAGUCAAUGUCUUGAUAUUUACUUUUUUUUUCCUAUUAGGUACUUGUGCACGUGGAGUUUAAGUUGUAUAUGGGCACUCAUGAUCAGCACUUGUCAAACUGAGGGGUGGUACAGAAACAGACAUUUGUGAUUAUUUGCACUGGGUCCUCUAGCAGGACACUCUCCUCAAAGCAAAAUGUAAAGAGAAUAUUGGAU
RNAcentral lists this long non-coding RNA (341 nucleotides) under Calidris pugnax (ruff). RNAcentral describes it as "lncRNA (ENSCPUG00000003372.1)". The record is from RNAcentral. Lineage: Eukaryota; Metazoa; Chordata; Aves; Charadriiformes; Scolopacidae.